This is a non-coding RNA of Dermacentor albipictus, 1206 nucleotides long. The record is from RefSeq and is a predicted model, not a curated record. NCBI's taxonomy places the organism in Eukaryota, Metazoa, Arthropoda, Arachnida, Ixodida, Ixodidae.
CACAUGAUAUGAUCUACGUAGUCGGUCUCGGCAAUCCCAAGACAGUCUUCACAGUUGUCGCAUCACUUUUGCGGCAGUAGAAUAAAGAAAGCAAAACGCCGAUCCAAUUGUUAUAAUAGUUGUUAUGAACGCCAGCUUCAGCUACAAGUGGAUUCCAAACAGGCAUCGAGCUAACAGCAAGGACACUCGUAAUGUUUGUAGCUGACAACGCGGACUUUGUGAAUGUGCGAUGAACCGAUGUCGCGCAUGUGGUGUUCGCGUUGUGUGUCGUCCGAUUCUCGGAUACUUUUCACAUUUUCUUCAUACCUCGGCUGCGUCACUAACAUAGGGCGGUUUUUUGUUGACUGAUAUCCUGCACUAUAAACCCAUCAAAGUUUCUCAUUCACUUAAAAUAGGUGCCAAAUUAUCAGAGCCCACCCAGUAUUUCGCCGGCGGUAUGCCUGGGCAGCCACGCAUAUGAGUACCUCAAUGCUGUACUGAUUGCUUUGACCUAUCACCGGAACAGAAAAUUAGCACUAACAUACGUGCGGGCAUCACAUUUGGUGGUACGCUGGAAGAUAUGCUACAAGUACGCUGUAUUACUAAUCGACGCUGGCAAUAAUGCGUCUGAAACCUUUGAAGGGCCCUGUAAUGGCUUUUACAAACAGCGCAUUCAAGUUAGCGUUCCAGUCUCAUACGAUAGCCCACAGCGUUUGUCAUACAACCUGCCAGCGCAUUUCCUUCGUCCACGAAAAAAGAUGAAUAAUGGUGAUAAAGAUGAAUAAGCCACCCGUUCCGGCGCGCAUGGCGCGCAGAGAGAGAGCGAAAAAAAAAAAAUGAAGGAGGAAAAGGCGCUCACACUCCUCCGAGCGCGCGCGCUCUCGCGCGCGGAGCUCCUGCGCAUGCGCGGAGAUCUUGCGCAUGCGCGGCGGUGCGCCAUCUCAACGAGUGCGCCAGGCACGUAUACGGUUGUACCGGUGUGCGGUGUCCGCCUGAACGUUGGUGUCUGUGUAUGCGUGUCAUCUUUGUGGCAUCACACGUCAACUACACUGAACGCAUACACCUGCAGCACCUUUGGGACUAAUGACACAAAGGUCAAGGCCAGCCUGGCGACCAUGCUUGCCAAGGAGUAGUGUAAAUAUUUAAUCUGUUUCCAUAAUAGCAUAAGACAAGAAUUUAAGGAAUUCAUGUAUUAUAUCGAGCAAUAAAAACGGUUAAUGCAUUGCC